UGGGGAAUAUUGGACAAUGGGCGCAAGCCUGAUCCAGCCAUGCCGCGUGAGUGAUGAAGGCCCUAGGGUUGUAAAGCUCUUUCACCGGUGAAGAUAAUGACGGUAACCGGAGAAGAAGCCCCGGCUAACUUCGUGCCAGCAGCCGCGGUAAUACGAAGGGGGCUAGCGUUGUUCGGAUUUACUGGGCGUAAAGCGUACGUAGGCGAACUAUUAAGUCAGGGGGGAAAUCCCGGGGCUCAACCCCGGAACUGCCUUUGAUACUGGUAGUCUUGAGUUCGAGAGAGGUGAGUGGAAUUCCGAGUGUAGAGGUGAAAUUCGUAGAUAUUCGGGGGAACACCAGGGGCGAAGGCGGCUCACUGGCUCGAUACUGACGCUGAGGUGCGAAAGCGUGGGGAGCAAACAGG
Molecule: ribosomal RNA, 404 nt
Filed under: Actinomycetes bacterium
Lineage: Bacteria; Bacillati; Actinomycetota; Actinomycetes
Description: Actinobacteria bacterium partial 16S ribosomal RNA
Rfam family: Bacterial small subunit ribosomal RNA
Source: RNAcentral